AACACGUAGGCAACCUGCCCUCAAGCUUGGGACAACUACCGGAAACGGUAGCUAAUACCGAAUACUUGCUUUCUUCGCCUGAAGGAAGCUGGAAAGACGGAGCAAUCUGUCACUUGAGGAUGGGCCUGCGGCGCAUUAGCUAGUUGGUGAGGUAACGGCUCACCAAGGCGACGAUGCGUAGCCGACCUGAGAGGGUGAUCGGCCACACUGGGACUGAGACACGGCCCAGACUCCUACGGGAGGCAGCAGUAGGGAAUCUUCCGCAAUGGGCGAAAGCCUGACGGAGCAAUGCCGCGUGAGUGAUGAAGGUUUUCGGAUCGUAAAGCUCUGUUGCCAGGGAAGAACGUCCUUGAGAGUAACUGCUCAAGGAGUGACGGUACCUGAGAAGAAAGCCCCGGCUAACUACGUGCCAGCAGCCGCGGUAAUACGUAGGGGGCAAGCGUUGUCCGGAAUUAUUGGGCGUAAAGCGCGCGCAGGCGGUCAUUUAAGUCUGGUGUUUAAUCCCGGGGCUCAACCCCGGAUCGCACUGGAAACUGGGUGACUUGAGUGCAGAAGAGGAGAGUGGAAUUCCACGUGUAGCGGUGAAAUGCGUAGAGAUGUGGAGGAACACCAGUGGCGAAGGCGACUCUCU
This 631-nucleotide ribosomal RNA is filed under the name Paenibacillus illinoisensis. RNAcentral's name for it is "bacterial SSU rRNA". It matches the Rfam family "Bacterial small subunit ribosomal RNA", at positions 112 to 730 of the family's 1533-position model. The record is from RNAcentral. Lineage: Bacteria; Bacillati; Bacillota; Bacilli; Caryophanales; Paenibacillaceae.